CAGCCGCCGCGGGAAUACGUAGGGUGCAAGCGUUAAUCGGAAUUACUGGGCGUAAAGCGUGCGCAGGCGGUUCGCUAAGACAGAUGUGAAAUCCCCGGGCUUAACCUGGGAACUGCAUUUGUGACUGGCGGGCUAGAGUAUGGCAGAGGGGGGUAGAAUUCCACGUGUAGCAGUGAAAUGCGUAGAGAUGUGGAGGAAUACCGAUGGCGAAGGCAGCCCCCUGGGCCAAUACUGACGCUCAUACACGAAAGCGUGGGGAGCAAACAGGAUUAGAUACCCGCGUAGUCCCUGUCUCUUAUAA
RNAcentral lists this ribosomal RNA (301 nucleotides) under uncultured bacterium. Its description in RNAcentral is "partial 16S ribosomal RNA". It matches the Rfam family "Bacterial small subunit ribosomal RNA", at positions 509 to 809 of the family's 1533-position model. The record is from RNAcentral.